RNAcentral lists this unclassified non-coding RNA (265 nucleotides) under uncultured fungus. Its description in RNAcentral is "partial contains 5.8S rRNA and ITS2". Lineage: Eukaryota; Fungi. The record is from RNAcentral.
AGGCAUUUAGUCGAGUAGUUCAGCGUUUGAUUCCCGAAUUGCCCACAUUGGAAAAUCUGUUGAAUGUGUUGGUUAGCACAUGUUCGAUGGAAAAAGCGUAUCUGUUCGAUGUGGCAAGUAAAUUGUACAUUAGUACCGAUUCAAGUCCGGUGGAUAUGCAAAGUGUGGAAUUGUGCAGUGAUAUGAUUGAUGUGGUGUUGGAUGUCAGUGGAAUAUAUGGUAUGGGUGGUGGCGGUGGAGGAGGUGGGACGACGUCGACAGCAGG